ACCGGCGGCUCGAGUGGUGGCCAUUAUUACUGGGCUUAAAGCGUUCGUAGCUGGCUUGUUAAGUCUCUGGGGAAAUCUUCCGGCUCAACCGGAAGGCGUCUCAGGGAUACUGGCAGGCUAGGGACCGGAAGAGGUGAGAGGUACUCCAGGGGUAGGAGUGAAAACCUGUAAUCCUUGGGUGAGCACCUGUGGCGAAGGCGGCUCACCAGAACAGAUCCGAUAGUGAGGAACGAAAGCUGCUGGAGCAAAGAG
RNAcentral lists this ribosomal RNA (252 nucleotides) under uncultured prokaryote. RNAcentral's name for it is "partial 16S rRNA". It matches the Rfam family "Archaeal small subunit ribosomal RNA", at positions 475 to 726 of the family's 1478-position model. The record is from RNAcentral.